This 465-nucleotide ribosomal RNA is filed under the name Vreelandella stevensii. Its description in RNAcentral is "partial 16S ribosomal RNA". It matches the Rfam family "Bacterial small subunit ribosomal RNA", at positions 338 to 795 of the family's 1533-position model. The record is from RNAcentral. Lineage: Bacteria; Pseudomonadati; Pseudomonadota; Gammaproteobacteria; Oceanospirillales; Halomonadaceae.
CCUACGGGGGGCUGCAGUGGGGAAUAUUGGACAAUGGGCGAAAGCCUGAUCCAGCCAUGCCGCGUGUGUGAAGAAGGCCUUCGGGUUGUAAAGCACUUUCAGUGGGGAAGAAAGCCUUGGGGCUAAUACCCUCGAGGAAGGACAUCACCCACAGAAGAAGCACCGGCUAACUCCGUGCCAGCAGCCGCGGUAAUACGGAGGGUGCGAGCGUUAAUCGGAAUUACUGGGCGUAAAGCGCGCGUAGGCGGUCUGAUAAGCCGGUUGUGAAAGCCCCGGGCUCAACCUGGGAACGGCAUCCGGAACUGUCAGGCUAGAGUGCAGGAGAGGAAGGUAGAAUUCCCGGUGUAGCGGUGAAAUGCGUAGAGAUCGGGAGGAAUACCAGUGGCGAAGGCGGUCUUCUGGACUGACACUGACGCUGAGGUGCGAAAGCGUGGGUAGCAAACAGGAUUAGAUACCCUGGUAGUC